Molecule: ribosomal RNA, 253 nt
Filed under: uncultured bacterium
Lineage: Bacteria
Description: partial 16S ribosomal RNA
Rfam family: Bacterial small subunit ribosomal RNA
Source: RNAcentral
UACAGAGGUCUCAAGCGUUGUUCGGAUUCAUUGGGCGUAAAGGGCUCGUAGGCGGUCCAUCGCGUCGGGAGUGAAAAGCUGGGGCUUAACCCCAGUCCUGCUUCCGAUACGGGUGGACUAGAGGUAGGUAGGGGAGAUCGGAAUUCCUGGUGUAGCGGUGAAAUGCGCAGAUAUCAGGAGGAACACCGGUGGCGAAGGCGGAUCUCUGGGCCUUACCUGACGCUGAGGAGCGAAAGCAUGGGGAGCAAACAGG